This 435-nucleotide long non-coding RNA is filed under the name Elaeis guineensis (African oil palm). RNAcentral describes it as "long non-coding RNA (EGUI_LNC017549)". Lineage: Eukaryota; Viridiplantae; Streptophyta; Magnoliopsida; Arecales; Arecaceae. The record is from RNAcentral.
CAUAGCAAUUGGAUGACUCGAACUCAGUAGAUGUUAAGGCUUUCUAUUUUCUCAAAGAGAGAAAUUUGGCAGUAGCAAAACAAAUGGCUUGUUGAGCUUUUGCCCUUGAUGAUCUUCUUAAACUAUCAUUCUAAGAAGGAUGAGCUUCAGCUAAACAAUCAGCAGCAUCAUCAACUACAUAUGGAGUAAUAGGAGGGGCAGUAGGAAAUCCAUCAUCUUCUAUAAGAGGAGGCGAUGAUGCUGUCGGUGUAUGAGGCACCACCACUAGCACCAUCUCAGUUGGUGCCAAGCAAUUUAGCAGCAUAACCGACAUCAUGAUAGGAUUUUGAGAAGAAAAUAAAUGAUCUAGCUUCAAGACGGUUGAGUCAGAUCCAAGAAGAAUCACAGAUAAUGCCUGAUGGGAUGUAGAGCGAUAAUUAGUCUCAGGAUAGUACA